CUAAUAUACGGAGUUAACAAGUUUUAUGAUAGCAGAACACUUUGGAAAAAGUGACCAUAGGAAGUGAUAGUCUUGUAUGCGAAAUCAUGAAACCUCUAUAGUGUAUCCUGAGUACGGCGGGACACGAGAAAUCUUGUCGGAAUCUGUGGGGACCAUCCCAUAAGGCUAAAUACUCUCUAAUGACCGAUAGUGAACAAGUACCGUGAGGGAAAGGUGAAAAGAACCCCGGGAGGGGAGUGAAAUAGAGAAUCUGAAACCAUAUGCUUACAAAAAGUUCGAGCCCAUUAACGGGUGAGAGCGUGCCUUUUGCAGAAUGAGCCGGCGAGUUAUGGUAUUGUGCAAGGUUAAGUGGAAAACACGGAGCCGAAGCGAAAGCAAGUCUUAAUAGGGCGAUUUAGUACAAUGCUGUAGACCCGAAACCGAGUGAUCUAGCCAUGAGCAGGUUGAAGUUGGGGUAAUACCCAAUGGAGGACCGAACCAGGGUACUAUGUAACGUGCUUGGAUGACUUGUGGCUAGCGGUGAAAUUCCAAUCGAACUCGGAUAUAGCUGGUUCUCCCCGAAAUAGGUUUAGGCCUAGCCUUGAAUUAUUUCAUCCUGGAGGUAGAGCACUGAAUGUGGAAUGGCCGCGUCUAGCGGUACUGACUGCAAUCAACCUCCGAAUGCCAGGAAUUGUAGAUUCAGGAGUCAGUGUAUGAGGUGAUAACGUCCAUACGCGAGAGGAAAACAAUCCAGACCAUCAACUAAGGUCCCUAAAUAUAUGUUAAGUGGGAAAGGAUGUAGAGACGCACGAACAGCUAGGAGGUUGGCUUAGAAGCAGCCAUCCUUUAAAGAGUGCGUAAUAGCUCACUAGUCGAGUAUCUCUGCGCCGAAAAUGUACCGGGGCUAAACAUAUUACCGAAGUUAUGGAUUUAUAAUUUAUUAUAAAUGGUAGGGGAGCGUUCUAAGGGCGCUGAAGGUAGAUCGUGAGGACUACUGGAGCGCUUAGAAGUGAGAAUGCCGGUGUGAGUAACGUAAGGUAGGUGAGAAUCCUACCCACUAUUUGACCAAGGUUUCCAGGGUCAAGUUCGUCUUCCCUGGGUUAGUCGGGACCUAAGGCGAGGCUGAAAAGCGUAGUCGAUGGACAACAGGUUUAUAUUCCUGUACUGCUUAUAGGACUGAUGGAGUGACGGAGAAAGCUAGAAAGAGCCAGUUAUUGGAUUCUGGUCUAAGCGUUUAGGUUGAUGCACAGGAAAAUCCGUGAUAUCGAUAAGACUGAAGCGUGAUGGCGACGUGGUCUACGGACCGCUAAGUCUUUUGAAGCUAUGCUUCCAAGAAAAACUUCUAAAGAUAUGUUAUAAGUACCCGUACCUAGAACCAACACAGGUGGUCAAGGAGAGAAUCCUAAGGUGAGCGAGAGAACUAUGGUUAAGGAACUCGGCAAAAUUACCCCGUAACUUCGGAAUAAGGGGAGGUUUCUUCGGAAACCCGCAGUGAAUAGGUCCAGGCAACUGUUUACCAAAAACACAGGUCUCUGCUAAAGCGUAAGCUGAUGUAUAGGGGCUGACGCCUGCCCAGUGCUGGAAGGUUAAGAUGAUUUGUUAGGUGGACGAAAGUCGAUAACACCGAAGCUUUGAUUUGAAGCCCCAGUGAACGGCGGCGAUAACUAUAAUCGUCCAAAGGUAGCGAAAUUCCUUGUCAGGUAAGUUCUGACCCGCACGAAAGGCGUAAUGAUCUGGAUACUGUCUCAACCAUAGACUCGGUGAAAUCUUAAUACCUGUGAAAAUGCAGGUUACCCGCGACAGG
Molecule: ribosomal RNA, 1783 nt
Filed under: human gut metagenome
Description: bacterial LSU rRNA
Rfam family: Bacterial large subunit ribosomal RNA
Source: RNAcentral